This 451-nucleotide ribosomal RNA is filed under the name uncultured bacterium. RNAcentral's name for it is "bacterial SSU rRNA". It matches the Rfam family "Bacterial small subunit ribosomal RNA", at positions 328 to 794 of the family's 1533-position model. The record is from RNAcentral.
ACGCCAGACUCCUACGGGAGGCAGCAGUGGGGGAUAUUGGACAAUGGGGGGAACCCUGAUCCAGCGACGCCGCGUGAGUGAAGAAGUAUCUCGGUAUGUAAAGUUCUAUCAGCAGGGAAGAAGAAAUGACGGUACCUGAGUAAGAAGCCCCGGCUAACUACGUGCCAGCAGCCGCGGUAAUACGUAGGGGGCAAGCGUUAUCCGGAAUUACUGGGUGUAAAGGGAGCGUAGACGGUGAUGUAAGUCUGGAGUGAAAGGCGGGGGCCCAACCCCCGGACUGCUCUGGAAACUAUGUGACUGGAGUGCAGGAGAGGUGAGCGGAAUUCCUAGUGUAGCGGUGAAAUGCGUAGAUAUCAGGAGGAACAUCGGUGGCGUAAGCGCUUUACUGGGCCGUAAUUGACGCUGAGGAACGAAAGCCAGGGUAGCAAAUGGGAUUAGAUACCCCCGUACA